Molecule: unclassified non-coding RNA, 844 nt
Filed under: Hevea brasiliensis (rubber tree)
Lineage: Eukaryota; Viridiplantae; Streptophyta; Magnoliopsida; Malpighiales; Euphorbiaceae
Source: RNAcentral
GAAAAGUAAAAUGUAAUUUUAUUCUUUAAUCCAUAACAACGUAAAGUCAGAUAUACCAAAAAUGUAGCUUAUCCUCUAAGAUAGAGAGGAUAAGCUAGUCUGGCAUAAUAGAAAACAUGGGUGUUAAGUCAGGCUACCACCUUGCACACCAUCUCGAAGUGUUGCAAUCUUCGAUCUCAUCAGAGGAUCCAGGACCAGUUUCGGCCGCCAAUCGUUUUGCUUAUUGGAAACAAUUUUGGAAAAUUCAACUCUCUCCCAAGAUGUCUCUUUCUUUGGAAAGCCCUUAAAGAAAGACUCCCUUCGAACGUUCUCCUUCAUAAUCGAUUUGAAGGGUUUGCCUUUAAUUGUGCAGCUUGUGGUGUACCUGAAAAUCUAAAACAUCUCUUCUUUUCAUGUCCGAAGGCUAUUGAAGUUUGGUUCCGCCCCCCUGUCGUGCUGCGGUCAUCCUUUCUCCAAGGAAUUUCAAUGAUGGAGUGUUGGCAGAAUUAUUGAGCUUUAUUUCUCAUCAUCAACAUGAAAGCGGGCUAACUCAAUUUUUGGUCUGUGUUCUGGCACCUUUGGAAGAGCCACAAUCGGACACAAUUCCAUAACGAAGCGCCGCCAUUUCAACAGCUUAUCUCGAUAGUUUGUUCCCAGUGUGAAGAAUUUCAGGCUACUCUUCAUCAUCAGGUGCGUCGUGAUAAUAUCCCCAACCUGCAGGAAUCCUGGUCCACUCCUCCUAGGGACAACAUUAAAAUUAACUUUGAUGCAAGCACCUACAACAGAAGAAAGGUGGGAGCAAUCUCGGAUAUAGCUAGAGAUACUAUAGGCAACCAGUUGGUUAGUUCUACAAAAUAGGGCAAGC